RNAcentral lists this ribosomal RNA (24 nucleotides) under Cortinarius colymbadinus. RNAcentral describes it as "partial 28S ribosomal RNA". Lineage: Eukaryota; Fungi; Basidiomycota; Agaricomycetes; Agaricales; Cortinariaceae. The record is from RNAcentral.
UAUGUGACCUCAAAUCAGGUAGGA